Molecule: ribosomal RNA, 255 nt
Filed under: Escherichia coli
Lineage: Bacteria; Pseudomonadati; Pseudomonadota; Gammaproteobacteria; Enterobacterales; Enterobacteriaceae
Description: partial 16S ribosomal RNA
Rfam family: Bacterial small subunit ribosomal RNA
Source: RNAcentral
AGUUUGAUCAUGGCUCAGAUUGAACGCUGGCGGCAGGCCUAACACAUGCAAGUCGAACGGUAACAGGAAGCAGCUUGCUGUUUUGCUGACGAGUGGCGGACGGGUGAGUAAUGUCUGGGAAACUGCCUGAUGGAGGGGGAUAACUACUGGAAACGGUAGCUAAUACCGCAUAACGUCGCAAGACCAAAGAGGGGGACCUUAGGGCCUCUUGCCAUCGGAUGUGCCCAGAUGGGAUUAGCUAGUAGGUGGGGUAAC